AUGACAUCCACACAACAUAAUCAGAGCAUGAACUAUGUGCUCAAGAAGAACUUCGUAAAUGAGAGACAAAACUUGCACCAGUUUGUUAGCCAAGUAAACACCUGCAUCAAAACCAGGAGGCAGAAAGAGAACAAGGAGAUAAUGGGUAACUGGAAAAAACAAAACACGCUGACUCUCUAUGGGUUCGACACUCAGAUGGCAAAGCUUUACUCACGAGGUGUGUAUAGCGAGAUUCGAAAGGGGCUUAAACUGAGCACCCUUUUCACGGCGACCGAGACAGAUGGGCCUAGAAAGUACUUUGUGCACUACAACAACCCGCAAAAACAGUUUGUGUGGUCACAACACACGUUCCAGGUGGUUGUAGACAGCAUGGGAGAAAUAUACGACUGCGAAUGCAAGCUGUGGGACCACACAGGUAUUUUCUGCAUGCAUGUCCUCUGCAUGAUGCAGACAAAUAAGGCUAGUGGCGUUCCAGAGAAAUACAUCAUCAGGAGAUACAGCAAAUGCCCGAACAUGCAGCCAACCUUCAACAGAGAUGACUUGAGGACAAUAGCGUCGAAUAAGGCCUCCCACUACUGCAUUGAAAGCGCACUGCUACAGCUGAACAUGAGCGUACAUAGAAAAAUCUUGAGAAGCCAAGAGCAAAUGGUGAGGGCACGAGUCGUUAUGGAAAGUCUUGAACAAGAACUCGACGCCAUGAAAUUUGUUGCAAAUGGAGAUGACACGGACAACGAAGCAAAAAUUGACCAUGAUGUCGCUACAAUCUUAUCUGAAAUGAACCAUCUUGUAGCUAUUAGCAGCUACGACAACGAGGAGGAGUAG
Molecule: ribosomal RNA, 822 nt
Filed under: Triticum aestivum (bread wheat)
Lineage: Eukaryota; Viridiplantae; Streptophyta; Magnoliopsida; Poales; Poaceae
Description: partial small subunit ribosomal RNA
Source: RNAcentral